This 467-nucleotide ribosomal RNA is filed under the name uncultured bacterium. Its description in RNAcentral is "partial 16S ribosomal RNA". It matches the Rfam family "Bacterial small subunit ribosomal RNA", at positions 29 to 507 of the family's 1533-position model. The record is from RNAcentral.
ACGAACGCUGGCGGCGUGCUUAACACAUGCAAGUCGAACGGAAAGGCCCUGCUUUUGUGGGGUGCUCGAGUGGCGAACGGGGGAGUAACACGUGAGUAACCUGCCCUUGACUUUGGGAUAACUUCAGGAAACUGGGGCUAAUACCGGAUAGGAGCUCCUGCUGCAUGGUGGGGGUUGGAAAGUUUCGGCGGUUGGGGAUGGACUCGCGGCUUAUCAGCUUGUUGGUGGGGUAGUGGCUUACCAAGGCUUUGACGGGUAGCCGGCCUGAGAGGGUGACCGGCCACAUUGGGACUGAGGUACGGCCCAGACUCCUACGGGAGGCAGCAGUGGGGAAUAUUGCACAAUGGGCGGAAGCCUGAUGCAGCAACGCCGCGUGCGGGAUGACGGCCUUCGGGUUGUAAACCGCUUUCGCCUGUGACGAAGCGUGAGUGACGGUAAUGGGUAAAGAAGCACCGGCUAACUACGUG